AAGGAAUAUUGGUCAAUGGUGGGAACACUGAACCAGCCAUCCCGCGUGCAGGACGAAGGCCCUCUGGGUUGUAAACUGCUUUUAACAGGAAAGAAACGAGUGGACUUGUCCGCUCCUGACGGUACCUGUGGAAUAAGCACCGGCUAACUCCGUGCCAGCAGCCGCGGUAAUACGGAGGGUGCAAGCGUUAUCCGGAAUCACUGGGUUUAAAGGGUGCGUAGGCGGCCUGGUAAGUCAGAGGUGAAAGCUUCCCGCUCAACGGGAGAACUGCCUUUGAUACUGCCGGGCUCGAAUUGGGUUGAGGCUGGCGGAAUGUGGCAUGUAGCGGUGAAAUGCUUAGAUAUGCCAUAGAACACCGAUUGCGAAGGCAGCCAGCCAAGCCUUGAUUGACGCUGAGGCACGAAAGCGUGGGGAGCGAAC
Molecule: ribosomal RNA, 420 nt
Filed under: uncultured bacterium
Lineage: Bacteria
Description: bacterial SSU rRNA
Rfam family: Bacterial small subunit ribosomal RNA
Source: RNAcentral